GCCCAUUCAGUAUAGUGGUGAAUGAUGCUGACUGUUGUACGGUUAGGCCUGGGUUUGAUUCCCAGAGUGGGUA
Trichonephila clavipes is the source of this 73-nucleotide non-coding RNA. The record is from the annotation of a GenBank genome assembly. NCBI's taxonomy places the organism in Eukaryota, Metazoa, Arthropoda, Arachnida, Araneae, Nephilidae.